Molecule: long non-coding RNA, 845 nt
Organism: Mirounga angustirostris (Northern elephant seal)
Lineage: Eukaryota; Metazoa; Chordata; Mammalia; Carnivora; Phocidae
Exons: 4
Source: RefSeq, a predicted model, not a curated record
CCGUCCCGCCCCCUCUGUAAGAUUAAGUGACCCUCAGGGCCACCUCCCACCCAGACACUCCAGGCCAUGACAUCCUGCGAGGUCUGCUGAAGCUCCUUAUCUAUUUGAACCGUCUCUCUUGCCUCUAGGCUCUGAGGUCCCGGCUGUGUUCCAGCAACUGGCAAAGAGCAGACCCUCCAUAAAUACUCCCUUGGCAAACGAGAGAAGGAUCCAGAGGUAAGCGGCGGAGGAUGGUAGUGUCCGUGUCAGUGCUGAGGAACUCCACCACUCAUACCGUGGCAGUACGGUGGCUGCUGUGACAGUGUGGCUCUUGCCACAUCACCAGAGGAGUGCAGGUGGGGGCCCGUCAGGCCACCGAAGAGGAGUCCUGUGCGGGACCAGCCAACCCGACACCUGCCCCGGCGUUUCAAUGGCUCAGAGAUUCUCGAAGCGUGCCAUUGCAAGCAGGUUGGCCACCCAGCCCAGCUGAUGUGGCCUCUGGCAAGAGGUUCCUUACGUCACUCUUCCUUCCUGCCUCUGGAUCACAGGCCCAGAAGCACCCACCUUGUUUGGUGACAUCUCCUGAGAAGCCCCCAAACACCAGAAGCAAGGACUUAACCUUAGGCCCAACACCCUGCCCUGCACACACUUACCCAGGAAGCCACAGGGACAUCAGGAUUCCCACUGCAGACCCGCCUCGGACUUCAGCAACUAGGGUCAUUUGCCAACAGCACGUGUCUUACAGUCGAUGCCACGUCGUGGUGUGAUUCGUGGCAUGACUUCCUUCCUAGUGGUACAUUAAACGGUGUGUAUGACCAUGGGGGGUGUCCUCUAUGAAUGAGAUACAGUAGACGUGUCUAGGGACC